This 600-nucleotide ribosomal RNA is filed under the name uncultured archaeon. RNAcentral's name for it is "bacterial SSU rRNA". It matches the Rfam family "Archaeal small subunit ribosomal RNA", at positions 59 to 658 of the family's 1478-position model. The record is from RNAcentral.
CUAAAGGUUUCUUCGGAAACCUUGGCGGACUGCUCAGUAACACGUGGAUAACCUACCCUUGGGACUGGAAUAACCCCGGGAAACUGGGGAUAAUACCGGAUAAGCCAUAGACGCUGGAAUGCCCUAUGGUUCAAAGCUCCGGCGCCUAAGGAUGGAUCUGCGGUCUAUCAGGUUGGAGUGGGUGUAACGUACCUACUAGCCGACGACGGAUACGGGUUGUGAGAGCAAGAGCCCGGAGAUGGAUUCUGAGACACGAAUCCAGGCCCUACGGGGUGCAGUACGCGCGAACACUUUACAAUGCGGGAAACCGCGAUAAGGGAACCCCGAGUGCCAGCAUCAAAUGUUGGCUGUCCACAUGAUUAAAAAUCAUUUGUUAGCAAGGGCCGGGCAAGACCGGUGCCGGCCGCCGCGGUAACACCGGCGGCCCGAGUGGUAGCCGUUUUUAUUGGGUCUAAAGGGUCCGUAGCCGGCCUGAUAAGUCCUUUGGGAAAUCUGGCAGCUUAACUGUCAGGCUUCUAAGGGAUACUGGCAGGCUUGGGACCGGAAGAGGUAAGGGGUACUCCAGGGGUAGGAGUGAAAUCUUGUAAUCCCUGGGGGACC